ACAUGCAAGUCGAGGGGUAGUAAGUGCUUGCAUUUAUGAGACCGGCGCACGGGUGCGUAACGCGUAUACAAUCUACCUUGUUCAAAGGGAUAGCCCAGAGAAAUUUGGAUUAAUACCUUAUAGUAUUAUAAGAUGGCAUCAUUUAAUAAUUAAAGAUUUAUCGGAACAAGAUGAGUAUGCGUCCCAUUAGCUAGUUGGUAUGGUAACGGCAUACCAAGGCAAUGAUGGGUAGGGUCCUGAGAGGGAGAUCCCCCACACUGGUACUGAGACACGGACCAGACUCCUACGGGAGGCAGCAGUGAGGAAUAUUGGACAAUGGGCGCAAGCCUGAUCCAGCCAUGCCGCGUGCAGGAAGACGGUCCUAUGGAUUGUAAACUGCUUUUAUACAGGAAGAAACACCUCUACGUGUAGAGACUUGACGGUACUGUAAGAAUAAGGAUCGGCUAACUCCGUGCCAGCAGCCGCGGUAAUACGGAGGAUCCAAGCGUAUCCGGAAUCAUUGGGUUUAAAGGGUCCGUAGGCGGAUUUAUAAGUCAGUGGUGAAAUCUCCCAGCUCAACUGGGAAACUGCCAUUGAUACUGUAGGUCUUGAAUUAUUAGGAAGUACUAGAAUAUGUAGUGUAGCGGUGAAAUGCUUAGAUAUUACAUGGGAAUACCAAUUGCGAAGGCAGGUUACUACUAAUACAUUGACGCUGAUGGACGAAAG
Molecule: ribosomal RNA, 705 nt
Filed under: CFB group bacterium GOBB3-210
Lineage: Bacteria; Pseudomonadati; Bacteroidota
Description: bacterial SSU rRNA
Rfam family: Bacterial small subunit ribosomal RNA
Source: RNAcentral